Molecule: non-coding RNA, 731 nt
Organism: Chrysemys picta bellii (western painted turtle)
Lineage: Eukaryota; Metazoa; Chordata; Testudines; Emydidae
Source: RefSeq, a predicted model, not a curated record
CUCAGAGAGCCCUCUACAGGGACGUCAUGCAGGAGAAUUACGAGAUGGUGACCUCGCUGGGAUUCCUCAUUCCCAAACCUGACCUGAUCGCCCGGCUGGAACGAGGGGAAGAGCCGUGGUUCCCGGAUCUCCAGGCCGAUGAAGAAAGGGAGAGCCCAAAAGGCUCCUGCACAGGCAGUGACUCCUGUCUGGAUUCUCUCUCUCCCAGCAGGUGAUAGGACAGUGAAUGAGAACAAGGAGGAGAAUCAGCAGGAGGAAGGUCCUGGGAAAGCGGAAUCGCAGGAGUUGGUUUUGAAAAGAGCUGAAGGGAAUUUUUCCCAGUGCUUGGAACAGGGAAAUGCCUGGGGAGAUCAACACAGAUCAGAGAUGCAGCUGGGAAACUAUCCUGGGAAGAAACUGGAUGAAUCUAUUGAACGUGGCAGAGGAUGCAAGGAUCCCAAGGAAACUACAGUACAGCAGAUAAGUCACAAUGAAGAGAAACCUUACAAAUGUCUUGACUGUGGGAAAAGUUUCCGUUUCAGUGCCAGCCUUAUCAAACAUUGGAGAACCCACACAGGAGAGAAGUCCUAUAAAUGCUUAGAGUGUGGGAAAAGUUUCAGUGAGAAGUCAAACUUUAUUACACACCAGAAACUGCACAUAGGAGAGAAACCCUAUAAAUGCCUGGAGUGUGGAAAAAGAUUUAGUCAGAGGUCAUCGCUUAUGGCACAUUACAGAUCCCACACAGGAGAGAA